UCAACCAUCAAGCUAUGCUUGGCAUUGGAUGCCAUCCCCUCCUACACGGGUGGGAAGCGUCUCAAACCGGUCGGCGGUGGCUUCGGGCCCUAAGCGUUAGUAAUACUUGUCGCUUUUCGGUGAACCCUUAGUCCGCCCGCCCCCAAAACCCAACACCUCAA
Molecule: unclassified non-coding RNA, 161 nt
Filed under: uncultured Phaeococcomyces
Lineage: Eukaryota; Fungi; Ascomycota; Eurotiomycetes; Chaetothyriales; Herpotrichiellaceae
Description: sequence contains ITS2
Source: RNAcentral